GAUGACGGCUCUCUCAUUCUGUCGUUAGUUCUUGUUAUUUCGCUGUUCACUUUUGCAUCAGUGUGCUUUGAGGGACAGGUACAAAUUAAAAGAUCAGAAAGCAUUUAGCCUUCUCCCAAACAGAACUGAAAGUCAGAGAAAAAGAAGGAGUGGAGAGUGUAGGCUAAAAUGUAAAGAAGACCCAAAUCCUAUUACGAAACGCACUUAAAUAAGCUGGAGCUGCACCGAGACUUUAUCAGAAGAAAGAGGAGCAGCUCGUGGAGCAUAAGGGAUCACAGGCGAGAUUGGAACGGGACGCUGUAAAGCCUGGAACUGGACUCUGUAAGGACUGGAACUGGAUGCUGUAAAGGCUUGAACUGGACGCUAUAAAGCCUGGAACUGGACUCUCUAAAGCUAUCAGCAACCGAAGCAUCUACUCGUUCUGUCUCUUACUGGGAGAUGUAGAGUUUCUGCUGAUUAUCGUGAGUCUGCUCCCUCUUCUCUCACUUUCUGUAGCUCUGCUUAGUUCACUUUAUCCACAUGGCAGAAGUGUCCACCUCAUCUAUAAGGCCUACCAGACCAAGAACUCAAGGAAAGCUUGAUCGGCCUGAGUUCUAAUUUCAUAUUCACCGAAAAGAGUAUCUGCAAAGCUUUCGUCAGGCAUCCACAUCUGGUCCAGUUAGCUGUGGUCACGCGGGCGGGGCACAUGGCCUGUUGGCCGCUCAGCAAGGCUGACUCUCAGAGACACAGCUGCAGGCAGGCAAGGUUGGAAAGGCCUCCGCUACUCCUAGUUUUCUAGGAAAUAUUGUGUUUCAGGAUUAAUCAAGGGGAAUUCCUUGGGCUUGGAAUUUGAUGGCCUAUUAAAUACCACAAAAUUCUUACUUGAUUUUCUGAUUAUGUUUUUAUCUUGAUGGCCAUCUUUUUAUAAAUUUUCUUAAAAUAUGUUUGUAAUUGAACCCGAUCCUUCUACUCUGUUUUGAAGAAAGCAGAGUACAGUCUUUAUUCUUAUCAUAGAUAUUGUCUCCAGGAACUUUCCCAUAUUUCUGGGUAUAGACAAUAUGAGUUGAUAUCCUUGUGGGUAAUGUGGACCUUUUAUUCGUGGGCAACUUUUGCAAAGAGGCUCCAAAGGUGAGAAAUGCAAGUGGAAGGGAAAAUUCAGCUGAAAGAAUGGAGGAUGGAGAAUUCAUGAGGCCCAAAGUCAGAAGGAUACGAAGAAUGCAAAAUCUGCAAGUGUAUUUAGCCAAGCCACAUGGAGGGAAUUGUUUUAACCACUGAACUUUGAUCAGAUUCCCCAAAACAGGCAUUUCUCCUCACUUUCUUUCUUUCCUUCUCUUUAUGUCCCUCUCUCCUCUGAUUUUCUUGAAGUGUUAAAAGAAUGUUGCUAGUUCCUUUCUUAACUUCUUUAUGGAGCUAAUUACAAAAACAGAAAUAAGAGGAAAGUACACUUUGACCAUUUGUUAAAAAAAAGUUAUGGUUUAUACAAAUAGCUGGAGUUUUCCAGAUAUGGAAUAGACCUUUCCAGUGCCUUGGUGAAUCCAUUUGCAGAAAGAUUCGAGGAAAGCUCUAAAUACAGUCAGUGCCAGUUCUUGCAGGAGGUGUGGGAGUUUGUUUCUCUACAUCUCCAACAAGGGUGGGUGCCUUCGGGAAGUUGCCUCAAUAAUGAGAUUUGAGCACACUUUCUGAUGGACUUUAUUCCCCCGAUAGGGCAUGAGUUUGAUAGACGUCUUCUCUAUCACAUGUUGUUUCCCUUCCAAGAAAGCAUGAGUUAUCUGGACUUUUUUCCCCUAAAUUACAUGGAAAGAUAGAAAAGAGGGAGGGAGGAAGCAGAGAGGGAAAAGAGAGUAUUUUAAAAGCUAAAACCAACAUCAAACCUUACUAAGGCAGAGGUUGAUUGUUAAAUAAAAUAACGCCGUUAAUGGGUAGUCAGAGUGGUUCUAAACAGAGCAACACGUGUGAAUUUUGCACGUCUCUAAACCACAUUUAAUAGUGCUUGUAGACAAAAAAUACAAUCACAAGUCAAGUCUAUGCUAAAGAAAGCAUUAAAGAUCAUUAGGAUACAUUUAAUAUUAAAAGACUUUGCUUCUGUCUUAAAAAUGUUCUGUGACUUUGUCUUUUCUACAAUUCUGUUGGAACGUUUCUCCA
RNAcentral lists this long non-coding RNA (2121 nucleotides) under Equus caballus (horse). Its description in RNAcentral is "lncRNA (ENSECAG00000046504.1)". The record is from RNAcentral. Lineage: Eukaryota; Metazoa; Chordata; Mammalia; Perissodactyla; Equidae.